AAAAUUCCAGAAGACUCACACAUCUAGAAAAAACAAAGAGUCAGAUCAGCAGAACUCGAGAACACAGACAUGUCUCCUGUAACUGCGACACUCUGCGACACUCUGCGGGACUCUGCUGUGUUUCAGCGUCUUUGUGUUUGUAUCUGCAGACCUGAAAUUGAUCACAGCUGAAUCUGGACAGGACGUCACUCUGACAUGUCGAGCUCCAGACAACAACAUCAAUACUUUAGAAUGGAGCAAACCUGACCUGGGAGAUAAGAAUGUCUAUUUGUACCAGAAUGGCCAAUUCAAACCAGAUCACCAGCAUCCAUCUGUUAGGAACCGGGCGGAUCUGCAGAACAGACAGAUGAUGGAUGGAGACGCGUCUUUGAUUCUGAAGGAUGUGACAAUUGGUGACACUGGAACAUACGAGUGUCGUGUCAACAUGGAAGGAAAAAACCGCAAGGACGCUAAACCCGUCAGUGUCUUCUACCUCCAUGUUGUUCCUCCAGGAGCACACAAAGACAAUAAACCUGUUAAAAUUGACCCUCCACGUGUUGUUCCUCCAGGUGAGUGAGUAGAGUUGAGUGUGUGAUCAGAGGUGAAGCUGCUUCCUGGUUGUUGAUGUUUGUUUCUAAAGAUGUUGUUGAUGAGACUUUGUAGAAAGCAGCUGGUCUGAGUGAUGUGAUCAGAGUGCAGUAGAUAAUGUCUGACAGCAGUUUGAAGAGGAAAUGGAUUCUGUUCUGUUCUUCACUCAUCACCUACCUGACACCUCACACCUGUUUCUCACCUGCAGCUCAGAAAGGAGGAUCUGGUGGACUGAAAGCUGGUCUGGUAGUUCCUGCUGUGCUUCUUGUUGCUGCUACUGUUGUUGGUUUUUGAAAAGAAACACCAACAACAGCAGCAACAAGAAGAAAACAGUCUCAAGGUUCAAAUGAGCGUUCUGCUGAACAACAGAGCGGACAACCUCUUCAGACUUAAGAUCAUCAACCAAUAAACAUCAUAGACGUCAAACACUCAGAGUUUGGAUUUCUUUCUCAUUUCUCUGAUGAUCAUCAUGUUCAGACUCAGACCAACAGUGUGUGUCUGUGCUGUCUGUCAGUGAACCUGAACUACAGUUUAUUCAUCUUCAUGUUGUUCAUGAGAUUUACUGACACAAAGUCAAACUGUGUUACAAACAUAAAUGAAUUUAUAUGAUAUUAUCUCAGAAUAUAUGCAUGUUUUGUUUUUUAGCUUCAUGUUCAGCGGCUGGUUGUAAGAAAAACUAAAGAUCAGCUGUUACAGUAUAAUUGUUGUUCUGUGAAUUAUAGACUAUUAAUAAUCUGGCUCAUUGUUCAGCUACAACCACUUUGGUUGACAUUACUUAUUAUUCUCUUUUUGUAUAAAAUGUUGAAUUUUACAGCUUACGGAGCAAAAUUGUGUAAAAGUAAAAAUUUGUGUAGUUACAGACUCAUAUUUCUUCUCUGAUCCUGAACCUUUCUAACCCCUUUCAUUUAACAUUUCCUCCAGUGAAUCUUUGUAAAUCCAAAUUUCUUCAUCUAUGUUAAUAAAGAUUUACAUUUAUACCUGCU
Astatotilapia calliptera (eastern happy) is the source of this 1550-nucleotide long non-coding RNA. NCBI's taxonomy places the organism in Eukaryota, Metazoa, Chordata, Actinopteri, Cichliformes, Cichlidae. The record is from Ensembl.